Cyprinus carpio (common carp) is the source of this 1071-nucleotide long non-coding RNA. NCBI's taxonomy places the organism in Eukaryota, Metazoa, Chordata, Actinopteri, Cypriniformes, Cyprinidae. The record is from Ensembl.
GGGCAAGACAAUGCAUUGACUUGGACUGAAACAGAGGUCAAAAUAUAUAUUUUUAAAUGCUUUGAAAAAUAUAUUUUUAUUUAAAAUAUUUUCAAAAAAUAUAAGAAAAAUGGCCUGAAAAUAUAUUUGCACAAAUAUGUUAGCAUAUAUAUAUAUAUUUAAAAUACCUUUUGUAUCUGCAUAUUUGUAUAUUUAUUAUACCUGUGGUCCAACCAUGAAGACGUCUACCUCUGAUUAAACAUGAGUAAUACCCUGUAAUUGAUUACCACCAUAAACUGCACUGAAUUUCUGUUUUUCUCCUUUGAGUGUUUGGUAAAUAUCUUGUCAAUUGUUGAUUUGUUUUUAUGCUCAAGGCAUCAGAUAUUCACAAACACAUUGUGCUCUCCACAAACCAUGAACUUCACUGUAUGUGAACCUGUUUAAUGUUGUAUUUUCUUUUUUCAUGGCUUUUCAGGAUGAGUUUUUAAGACAUUUCUACCUAAUAAUGGGUGGUGUUACAUAUUCAUGUAGUAUUUAUUUAAUUUUGUUCUGCUUGUAAUGAUUUGCCUGUCCUCUAGGGGGCGGUUUUGUCAUGUGUUUCUUGCCUUUCAUUAGGGGCCAAUUCCAUACACCUGUGGACUGCCUGAGAGUUUGGAUACAUCACGUCUCAUCGCCAUACCUGAGUGUGGGGGAGACUGCUACAGCAGUUCGGCUGCUCUCACCUUAGUUUUUGUUUUCUUCUUUUUCCUCACUAAUUUUCCUCCCACCUUUAAUGUUAAAUUUUUGUUAUGCUUAUGUUUAUUUUGUAAUAUUUUUUUCCCCUUAUUGAAUCAAGCCUUUUCGUGUUACCCCUCCUUUGUUUUAUUGUUGUGGCCGAAUUUGCAGCAAAAAACUGACUUUUGACAUCAAAAUAAGAAAAAGACAGUGUUUUCUGCUCUCUGUUAAAACAUUUGUAAUGGCUUCUUUAUUUGUAACAGUUACACAAUUAACAGUUAUUGUAGCUGCAUCUGUUGCUGUCUGACCCACUGCUGCUCUAUAGUGGUACUCAUGGGAAUCACUUAAUUAAAAAUAAAUUAGGUGUGUAUCCACCCA